AGCCGUAGCGAAAGCGAGUCCGAACAGGGCGGUUGAGUCGCAUGACCAAGACCCGAAGCUGAGUGAUCUACCCAUGGCCAGGUUGAAGCGCGUGUAAGAGCGCGUGGAGGACCGAACCCACUUCAGUUGAAAAUGGAGGGGAUGAGCUGUGGGUAGGGGUGAAAGGCCAAUCAAACUCGGAAAUAGCUGGUUCUCCGCGAAAGCUAUUUAGGUAGCGCCUCGU
This 223-nucleotide ribosomal RNA is filed under the name Chloropicon mariensis. Its description in RNAcentral is "partial Bacterial large subunit ribosomal RNA". It matches the Rfam family "Bacterial large subunit ribosomal RNA", at positions 664 to 885 of the family's 2925-position model. The record is from RNAcentral. Lineage: Eukaryota; Viridiplantae; Chlorophyta; Chloropicophyceae; Chloropicales; Chloropicaceae.